RNAcentral lists this microRNA precursor (65 nucleotides) under Tribolium castaneum (red flour beetle). Its description in RNAcentral is "Tca-Mir-3849_pre stem-loop". Lineage: Eukaryota; Metazoa; Arthropoda; Insecta; Coleoptera; Tenebrionidae. The record is from RNAcentral.
UGACAUUUUAACCAUAGUGCUGUUGUUUAUAUUCAAAUUAAUAGCAUUGUGUUGGAAAUGUCGUC